AACGAACGUUGGCGGCGUGAAUUAGGCAUGCAAGUCGAACGAAUCCCGGUGGGGGGUAACUCUGCCGGGGGAAGUGGCGAAAGGGGCAGUAAGGCGUGGGUAACCUACCCCGGGACGGGGAUAGCCAUUCUAACGAGUGGGUAAUACCCGGCGAGCUGACGGGAGGGCAUCUUUCCGUCAGGAAAUGAGUUUCGCCUGGGGAGGGGCUCACGUGGUAUUAGCUUGUUGGUGAGGUAACGGCUCACCAAGGCUGAGAGCCUAGCGGGUGUGAGAGCACGACCCGCGCCACUGGCGACUGAGACACUGGCCAGACACCUACGGGUGGCUGCAGUCGAGGAUCUUCGGCAAUGGGCGCAA
Molecule: ribosomal RNA, 357 nt
Filed under: uncultured bacterium
Lineage: Bacteria
Description: bacterial SSU rRNA
Rfam family: Bacterial small subunit ribosomal RNA
Source: RNAcentral